CUUGGGAUGGGGGUCCCUUAGCCCAGAUUGCAAGGGGGUGCAGGCCAGGCCGAGGGACCCCACGGGUGCACG
RNAcentral lists this microRNA precursor (72 nucleotides) under Myotis davidii. RNAcentral describes it as "mir-9193 microRNA precursor family". It matches the Rfam family "mir-9193 microRNA precursor family". The record is from Rfam by way of RNAcentral. Lineage: Eukaryota; Metazoa; Chordata; Mammalia; Chiroptera; Vespertilionidae.